UGCUUAGUGAGAGUAGCAAUAAGGAC
RNAcentral lists this unclassified non-coding RNA (26 nucleotides) under Mus musculus (house mouse). RNAcentral describes it as "oocyte_clustered_small_RNA12272". Lineage: Eukaryota; Metazoa; Chordata; Mammalia; Rodentia; Muridae. The record is from RNAcentral.